This is a non-coding RNA of Schistosoma rodhaini, 45 nucleotides long. NCBI's taxonomy places the organism in Eukaryota, Metazoa, Platyhelminthes, Trematoda, Strigeidida, Schistosomatidae. The record is from Rfam.
AUUUGGCUGACGAGUCCCAGACAGGAGGAAAAGAGCAUCCUGGAU